Long non-coding RNA from Eriocheir sinensis (Chinese mitten crab), 403 nucleotides. RefSeq lists it as uncharacterized. The record is from RefSeq and is a predicted model, not a curated record. NCBI's taxonomy places the organism in Eukaryota, Metazoa, Arthropoda, Malacostraca, Decapoda, Varunidae. The transcript has 3 exons.
UGACAUACAAGGGGUGUAGGUUAUCUCAUUUAUCACAUUUACUGACAUACAAGGGGUGUAGGUUAUCUCAUUUAUCCCAUUUACUGACAUACAAGGGGUGUAGGUUAUCUCAUUUAUCACAUUUACUGACAUACAAGGGGUGUAGGUUAUCUCAUUUAUCACAUUUACUGACAUACAAGGGGUGUAGGUUAUCUCAUUUAUCACAUUUACUGACAUACAAGGGGUGUAGGUUAUCUCAUUUAUCACAUUUACUGACAUACAAGGGGUGUAGGUUAUCUCAUUUAUCACAUUUACUGACAUACAAGGGGUGUAGGUUAUCUCAUUUAUCACAUUUACUGACAUACAAGGGGUGUAGGUUAUCUCAUUUAUCACAUUUACUGACAUACAAGGGGUGUAGGUUAUC